GCGGCCGCCCGCCCCUUACGCCGUGCCCGGAGCCUGGCGGCGGCCGAGCUGACGGCGGUGUUGUGUCUCGUCGGUGGCAGCUAUGAGGUCGCUGUGUCUCGUCACCGUGGGGGUCCUGGCUCUGACGCUGCUCAUCGCCAGCAUCUCCUUGUUGGUGGCGCACGUCUUCCAGACGGUGGUGGACCUGCAAGUGAAGCAGGGGACAGUGUUAAAAAAUGGCACAGAAACCUUUGAAGCUUGGGAAGAUCCUCCUCCACCAGUCUACAUGCAGUUUUACUUUUUUAAUGUGACAAAUCCACUAGAAGUGCUUCAAGGUGCUACUCCUCUUGUAGAGGAAAAAGGGCCAUAUACCUACCGAGAAUACAGGCCAAGAGUACAUGUUCAGUUUUUGGACAAUGGCACCAAAGUAUCUGCUCUGAAUCCAAAGACGUAUGUAUUUGAACCUCAGAAGUCAGUUGGAAACCCUGAAGUGGAUCUGAUUAGAACAAUUAAUGUUCCUGCAGUGACUGCAAUGGAGUGGACCAGGGCAACCUCUCUUCAGUUUGCCACGGAGGUGCUAUUGCUCCUAUACCAAGAAUCCCUGUUUACAGUUCGCACAGUGCAUGAAUUACUGUGGGGCUACAAAGACAAACUCCUGUCAGCCAUUCAUGUUUUGCAUCCUGAAAUCGAUCCAGUGUUUGGCUUCUUUAAUAAGAUGAAUGGAACUGAUGAUGGAGAAUAUGUUUUCCUAAGUGGAGAAAUGAACUACCUUAACUUCUCAAGAAUUGUGGAAUGGAAAGGAAAAGAGUCACUGAGUUGGUGGACAACAAAGACUUGUAACAUGAUCAAUGGAACAGAUGGGACAUCUUUUCAUCCACUGAUUAGCAAAGAUGAGAACAUUUAUAUAUUUUCUUCUGAUUUUUGCAGAUCUCUUUACCUGGUGUACGACAGCUCAGGAAGUGUUGCAGGCGUCCCAACCUACCGCUUUGUGCCCUCCCCUAUGGUGUUUGCCAACACCACCGUUAACCCAGACAACGCUGGAUUCUGUGUACCACCAGGAAACUGCCCUGGUGCUGGUGUCCUCAAUGUUAGCAUCUGCAAGCAAGGUGCUCCCAUAUUUCUGUCAGCUCCACAUUUUUACCAAGCAGAACAAAAGUAUGUAAGUGACAUUGAGGGCAUGCACCCAACAAAGGAAUACCACGAGACAUUUGUGGACAUCAAUCCUCUGACAGGGCUUGUCCUGCAAGCAGCCAAGCGGAUGCAGAUCAAUGUUCAUGUCAGAAAAUUACCUGAAUUCUUUGAAACAGGCAACAUCCGAACACUAGUUUUCCCAGUGAUGUAUAUAAAUGAGAGUGUUCUGAUUGAUGAAGCAUCUGCCACCAAACUCAAGCACGUCCUGCUGGAAGCCAGUGUUGUAACUGGAAUCCCUUUUGUAAUCAUGGCAAUAGGAAUUGUUUUUGGGAUUGUUUUUAGUGUGCUUGUGUGCAGGUCCCAGGGAGUGAGAGAAGAGGGAAGGGAUGUUUUAAUAGACUCAGAAUAAAUGCACCAAGACAAAGGAAUGCAACUAAUAUAAGAGACAAUCGUGGUAAGGCAGAGCACUGAAGAAGAAAGGUCCCCGCUCAUCAGGACAUAGUAGUAGAUCUUCUUAAAUACGUGAGCUUGGAGAAUAAAUCAUUAGAGCUUACCUAAUACCAGCUACCACUACCCAGUGUUGUCCACUGUGGAGAAACAGUCGUGUCAAGUGUAACGUUCAAAGAUGGAAGAGAAUCUGCACUGUCGUCAGGGGAGGAGACUUUUCUUAGCAGCUAAGUUACAACUACUGAACUACAUUUUAAAACUGCUCGAGAUCCUGCUUUUUUCAGCCCCGCACUCUCUCGUACCUGCACUGACACUCAGAGACCAUCAUAACCACUUCCUCGGUGAAAAUAAAACGGCCUGAUUCGUUACAGAAACGACGGGUAACAUUUACAAAUGGCCUUAGGAGCGUGGGCUGCAAAGAACCCUUGUAGAGAUGCAGCAGGUUCCUGUGUCACUCACACACCUGUCGGUUUCCUGUAGCCUCACUGUUGUCUUUUCUGUAAAGUCCUGCGCGCUGCUUCCUGCCGGUUUGCACUGACUGUUUGGUAUUAAAGUACAGAACGGAUCUGUACAACUGA
RNA transcript from Coturnix japonica (Japanese quail), 2135 nucleotides. It is a transcript of the gene named scavenger receptor class B member 2, with no coding region annotated. Lineage: Eukaryota; Metazoa; Chordata; Aves; Galliformes; Phasianidae. The record is from RefSeq and is a predicted model, not a curated record.